UUGCCCCAGUAACGGCGAGUGAAGCGGCAACAGCUCAAAUUUGAAAUCUGGCCUCGGCCCGAGUUGUAAUUUGCAGAGGAUGUUUCUGGCGCGGUGCCUUCUGAGUUCCCUGGAACGGGACGCCAUAGAGGGUGAGAGCCCCGUACGGUUGGACGCCUAGCCUGUGUGAAACUCCUUCGACGAGUCGAGUAGUUUGGGAAUGCUGCUCAAAAUGGGAGGUAUAUCUCUUCUAAAGCUAAAUAUUGGCCAGAGACCGAUAGCGCACAAGUAGAGUGAUCGAAAGAUGAAAAGCACCUUGAAAAGGGGGUUAAACAGCACGUGAAAUUGUUGAAAGGGAAGCGCCCAUGACCAGACUUGUGCCCGGCGGAUCACCCAGCGUUCUCGCUGGGGCACUCCGCCGGGUCCAGGCCAGCAUCGGUUUUCGCCGGGGGAUAAAGGCUCUGGGAACGUAGCUCCUCCGGGAGUGUUAUAGCCCUCUGCGUAAUACCCUGGCGGGGACCGAGGUACGCGCUCCGCAAGGAUGCUGGCGUAAUGGUCAUCAGCGACCCGUCUUGAAACACGGAUCAAGGAGUCGUCCAUUAGAGCGAGCGUUUGGGUGUCAAACCCGCACGCGUAAUGAAAGUGAACGUAGGUGAGAGCUUCGGCGCAUCAUCGACCGAUCCUGAUGUCCUCGGAUGGAUUUGAGUAUGAGUUUUACUGGACGGACCCGAAAGAUGGUGAACUAUGCCUGUAUAGGGUGAAGCCAGAGGAAACUCUGGUGGAGGCUCGCAGCGGUUCUGACGUGCAAAUCGAUCGUCAAAUAUGGGCAUGGGGGCGAAAGACUAAUCGAACCAUCUAGUAGCUGGUUACCGCCG
RNAcentral lists this ribosomal RNA (854 nucleotides) under Phaeoacremonium fraxinopennsylvanicum. RNAcentral's name for it is "eukaryotic LSU rRNA". It matches the Rfam family "Eukaryotic large subunit ribosomal RNA", at positions 75 to 963 of the family's 3401-position model. Lineage: Eukaryota; Fungi; Ascomycota; Sordariomycetes; Togniniales; Togniniaceae. The record is from RNAcentral.